UACGUAGGGGGCUAGCGUUGUCCGGAUUUAUUGGGCGUAAAGAGCGUGUAGGCGGCCAGACAGGUCCGUUGUGAAAACUCGAGGCUCAACCUCGAGACGCCGAUGGAAACCGUCUGGCUAGAGUCCGGAAGAGGAGAGUGGAAUUCCCGGUGUAGCGGUGAAAUGCGCAGAUAUCAGGAAGAACACCCGUGGCGAAGGCGGCUCUCUGGGACGGUACUGACGCUGAGACGCGAAAGCGUGGGGAGCGAACAGG
Molecule: ribosomal RNA, 253 nt
Filed under: uncultured bacterium
Lineage: Bacteria
Description: partial 16S ribosomal RNA
Rfam family: Bacterial small subunit ribosomal RNA
Source: RNAcentral